RNAcentral lists this ribosomal RNA (301 nucleotides) under uncultured bacterium. RNAcentral's name for it is "partial 16S ribosomal RNA". It matches the Rfam family "Bacterial small subunit ribosomal RNA", at positions 509 to 809 of the family's 1533-position model. The record is from RNAcentral.
CAGUAGCCGCGGUAAUACGGAGGGGGCUAGCGUUGUUCGGAAUUACUGGGCGUAAAGCGCACGUAGGCGGCUUGGUAAGUUAGAGGUGAAAGCCUGGAGCUCAACUCCAGAAUUGCCUUUAAGACUGCCGAGCUAGCAGGUGAGAGAGGUAAGUGGAAUUCCGAGUGUAGAGGUGAAAUUCGUAGAUAUUCGGAAGAACACCAGUGGCGAAGGCGGCUUACUGGCUCAUACUGGACGCUGAGGUGCGAAAGCGUGGGGAGCAAACAGGAUUAGAUACCCCGGUAGUCCCUGUCUCUUAUAA